GAGAAUCUCUAGCUUCUUCCUCAGUUUCUUUCACUGAGUUCAAAUAUGAGAGAUGAAUUUCUUCUAUCUCAGCAUGUGUUUUCUCUCCAGUAUGCUCUCCAAAGUACACUAUGUAGCUCUGUGAUUCAAUUUAGAACACAACACUAUAUAUAUAUGUGAGUGUUUGUGAUUAAAACAUUCUCAAAAAAUAGAAAACAAUGCC
Molecule: unclassified non-coding RNA, 202 nt
Filed under: Hevea brasiliensis (rubber tree)
Lineage: Eukaryota; Viridiplantae; Streptophyta; Magnoliopsida; Malpighiales; Euphorbiaceae
Source: RNAcentral